Molecule: ribosomal RNA, 514 nt
Filed under: uncultured bacterium
Lineage: Bacteria
Description: partial 16S ribosomal RNA
Rfam family: Bacterial small subunit ribosomal RNA
Source: RNAcentral
UAGGGAAUCUUCCACAAUGGACGCAAGUCUGAUGGAGCAACGCCGCGUGAGUGAAGAAGGUUUUCGGAUCGUAAAGCUCUGUUGUUGGUGAAGAAGGAUAGAGGCAGUAACUGGUCUUUAUUUGACGGUAAUCAACCAGAAAGUCACGGCUAACUGCGUGCCAGCAGCCGCGGUAAUACGUAGGUGGCAAGCGUUGUCCGGAUUUAUUGGGCGUAAAGCGAGCGCAGGCGGAAUGAUAAGUCUGAUGUGAAAGCCCACGGCUCAACCGUGGAACUGCAUCGGAAACUGUCAUUCUUGAGUGCAGAAGAGGAGAGUGGAACUCCAUGUGUAGCGGUGGAAUGCGUAGAUAUAUGGAAGAACACCAGUGGCGAAGGCGGCUCUCUGGUCUGCAACUGACGCUGAGGCUCGAAAGCAUGGGUAGCGAACAGGAUUAGAUACCCUGGUAGUCCAUGCCGUAAACGAUGAGCGCUAGGUGUUGGGGACUUUCCGGUCCUCAGUGCCGCAGCAAACGCAU